GGGUGACUUGGCUAUGACAUCUGUCACCCUAUUGAUGGCUGGGGUUGACUCAGCUGAACUGGCUGGCCUUAUGUGUACUUGAAGCUGUGCACUUGGUCAAAAGGACCAUUUUCUUGAAUAGAGGAGUACUACUAUUCUUCAGGUAAGGGUACAGGAGUGGCUGAAAAUUCAUGCUAGAAUCUCCAAACAAGUUCUCAAGGCAUGGUUUCACUCUGUAACCCAGGCUGGCCUCAAACUCACAGUAAUCUACCUGU
Molecule: small nuclear RNA, 254 nt
Filed under: Rattus norvegicus (Norway rat)
Lineage: Eukaryota; Metazoa; Chordata; Mammalia; Rodentia; Muridae
Description: 7SK RNA
Rfam family: 7SK RNA
About the family: 7SK was discovered as an abundant small nuclear RNA in the mid-70s but a possible function has only recently been suggested. Two independent studies have found that 7SK RNA binds the CDK9/cyclin T complex (known as elongation factor P-TEFb).
Source: Rfam by way of RNAcentral